Molecule: ribosomal RNA, 425 nt
Filed under: uncultured bacterium
Lineage: Bacteria
Description: partial 16S ribosomal RNA
Rfam family: Bacterial small subunit ribosomal RNA
Source: RNAcentral
GUGGGGAAUUUUGCGCAAUGGGGGCAACCCUGACGCAGCGACGCCGCGUGGAGGACGAAGUCUUUCGGGAUGUAAACUCCUGUCAGUGGGGACGAUAAUGACGGUACCCACAGAGGAAGCACCGGCUAACUCCGUGCCAGCAGCCGCGGUAAGACGGAGGGUGCAAGCGUUGUUCGGAAUUACUGGGCGUAAAGCGUAUGUAGGCGGCAAGUUAAGUUCAAUGUUAAAGCCCACGGCUCAACCGAGGAGAUGCAUUGAAUACUGGCUAGCUAGAGGGUGUUAGAGGAAGACGGAAUUCCCAGUGUAGCGGUGAAAUGCGUAGAUAUUGGGAGGAACAUCGGUAGCGAAAGCGGUCUUCUGGGACAUACCUGACGCUGAGGUACGAAAGCGUGGGGAGCAAACGGGAUUAGAAACCCCAGUAGUCC